Non-coding RNA from Clostridium sp. Maddingley MBC34-26, 194 nucleotides. It matches the Rfam family "6S / SsrS RNA". Rfam says of the family: E. coli 6S RNA was the first non coding RNA to be sequenced, but its function was unknown until recently. It consists of 184 nucleotides that fold into an extended hairpin structure with a large single-stranded internal bulge. The record is from Rfam. NCBI's taxonomy places the organism in Bacteria, Bacillati, Bacillota, Clostridia, Eubacteriales, Clostridiaceae.
GAUUUCCUGAGAUGUGCGAAAAGCUUAUGAUAUUCAACCUACAUUAUAUAAUCGGGAUUUACAAUAAAUUCAUAAAUGUCAGGCUUCAUUUAAAUCACUAAAUAGUGGCAGUAGAAGACAGAAGUGAGUUGAGUUUAACCCACCUGCGAGGCGCAGGAUUUGAAUAUAUAGGUGAACGGCAUGUUGGGAGCUAU